UACGUAGGGGGCAAGCGUUAUCCGGACUUACUGGGUGUAAAGGGGGCGCAGACGGAGAUGCAAGCCAGAUGUGAAAGCCCGCGGCUUACCUGCGGGAGUGCAUUUGGAACUGCGUGUCUAGAGUACUGGAGGGGCAGGCGGAAUUCCUGGUGUAGCGGUGAAAUGCGUAGAUAUAAGGAAGAACACCAGUGGCGAAGGCGGUCUACUGGACAGUAACUGACGCUGAGGCGCGAGAGCGUGGGGAGCAAAC
RNAcentral lists this ribosomal RNA (250 nucleotides) under uncultured prokaryote. RNAcentral's name for it is "partial 16S ribosomal RNA". It matches the Rfam family "Bacterial small subunit ribosomal RNA", at positions 524 to 773 of the family's 1533-position model. The record is from RNAcentral.